This 254-nucleotide ribosomal RNA is filed under the name uncultured bacterium. RNAcentral's name for it is "partial 16S ribosomal RNA". It matches the Rfam family "Bacterial small subunit ribosomal RNA", at positions 524 to 776 of the family's 1533-position model. The record is from RNAcentral.
UACAGAGGGUGCGAACGUUGUUCGGAAUUACUGGGCAUAAAGCGCGCGUAGGCGGCGACGUAAGUGUAGGGUGAAAUCCCACGGCUCACCCGUGUGAAUUGCCCCGCAUACCGCGUUGCUGGAGUGUGGUAGGGGAGAGCGGAACUCCUGGUGGAGCGGUGAAAUGCGUAGAUAUCGUAAGGAAGGCCGGUGGCGAAAGCGAGUCUCUGGACAGUUACUGACGCUGAUGCACGAAGGCCAGGGGAGCAAACGGG